GGGCUCGUAGAUCAGUGGCAGAUCGACACCUUCGCAAGGUGUAGGCCCCGGGUUCAAAUCCCGGCGAGUCCA
RNAcentral lists this transfer RNA (72 nucleotides) under Natronoarchaeum rubrum. Its description in RNAcentral is "tRNA-Ala". It matches the Rfam family "tRNA". Rfam says of the family: Transfer RNA (tRNA) molecules are approximately 80 nucleotides in length. Their secondary structure includes four short double-helical elements and three loops (D, anti-codon, and T loops). Lineage: Archaea; Methanobacteriati; Methanobacteriota; Halobacteria; Halobacteriales; Natronoarchaeaceae. RNAcentral also lists the same sequence under 2 other names. The record is from RNAcentral.